Long non-coding RNA from Diabrotica virgifera virgifera (western corn rootworm), 401 nucleotides. RefSeq lists it as uncharacterized. The transcript has 2 exons. The record is from RefSeq and is a predicted model, not a curated record. NCBI's taxonomy places the organism in Eukaryota, Metazoa, Arthropoda, Insecta, Coleoptera, Chrysomelidae.
AUGUUUAGUAGUUUAGAUUAGGUUAUGUUUAUGUUUGCUUCGUGUUCGAGUAGUACAUAUUCAGUGUAAUAUAUUCUUUAUCUAUGCUUCGUGCUCCUGUGUUUGUUUUGUAUAAAGUUUAAAGCAUUGAAUUGAAUUAAAGGUUGAAAGACCAAAAGGACAAGAUGUAACCGUAAUUGGUUUACAAAAAAAAAAGAAAAUAUUAAAAUAUAACAAAACAAUUGUAUCGAGAAACUAAGAUGACAUUAAGUGUGAGUAUAGGCACGGAAGGGGAGUACUACUGUCGCAACUUUACUAUGCGUAAGAGUGAAACAGCACUGAGCCAAAUAAAAAAGAAUGUGUGUGUACUUUGUACGCAUGUAAGAAGUUAUACUUCUAUUAUAUGAUUUCUUAAAAAUAAA